GACAAACGCUGGCGGUAUGCCUAACACAUGCAAGUCGAACGGACAGAACAGGGAAGCUUUUCGGAGUGGAACUGGAAAGUUAGUGGCGGAUGGGUGAGUAACGCGUGGACAACCUACCUUGUAAAGGGGAAUGACCUCGAGAAAUCGAAGCUAAUACCCCAUAAUAACCUUGCUUCGCAUGAAGUAAGGAGGAAAGGCGGCCUUAGCGCUGUCGAUACAAGAUGGGUCCGCGUCUGAUUAGCUAGUUGGUGAGGUAAAGGCUCACCAAGGCGACGAUCAGUAGCCGGCCUGAGAGGGUGAACGGCCACAUUGGGACUGAGACACGGCCCAAACUCCUACGGGAGGCAGCAGUGGGGAAUCUUCCGCAAUGGGCGAAAGCCUGACGGAGCAAUGCCGCGUGAGUGAAGAAGGCCUUCGGGUUGUAAAACUCUGUCCUUAUCGAAGAGAGAGUGUUGUAGUAACUGACAAUACUAGGACGGUAGAUGAGGAGGAAGCCCCGGCUAACUAUGUG
This 511-nucleotide ribosomal RNA is filed under the name uncultured bacterium. RNAcentral describes it as "partial 16S ribosomal RNA". It matches the Rfam family "Bacterial small subunit ribosomal RNA", at positions 28 to 507 of the family's 1533-position model. The record is from RNAcentral.